This 440-nucleotide ribosomal RNA is filed under the name uncultured bacterium. RNAcentral describes it as "partial 16S ribosomal RNA". It matches the Rfam family "Bacterial small subunit ribosomal RNA", at positions 338 to 795 of the family's 1533-position model. The record is from RNAcentral.
CCUACGGGAGGCAGCAGUGGGGAAUAUUGCACAAUGGGGGAAACCCUGAUGCAGCGACGCCGCGUGGGUGAAGAAGCGCCUCGGCGCGUAAAGCCCUGUCAGCAGGGAAGAAAAUGACGGUACCUGAAGAAGAAGCCCCGGCUAACUACGUGCCAGCAGCCGCGGUAAUACGUAGGGGGCAAGCGUUAUCCGGAUUUACUGGGUGUAAAGGGGGCGCAGACGGCGGUGCAAGCCAGGAGUGAAAGCCCGGGGCCCAACCCCGGGACUGCUCUUGGAACUGCGUGGCUAGAGUGCAGGAGGGGCAGGCGGAAGUCCUGGUGUAGCGGUGAAAUGCGUAGAUAUCAGGAGGAACACCGGUGGCGAAGGCGGCCUGCUGGACUGCAACUGACGUUGAGGCCCGAAAGCGUGGGGAGCAAACAGGAUUAGAUACCCUUGUAGUC